RNAcentral lists this ribosomal RNA (800 nucleotides) under uncultured bacterium. RNAcentral's name for it is "bacterial SSU rRNA". It matches the Rfam family "Bacterial small subunit ribosomal RNA", at positions 9 to 784 of the family's 1533-position model. The record is from RNAcentral.
GAGUUUGAUCCUGGCUCAGGACGAACGCUGGCGGCGUGCUUAACACAUGCAAGUCGUACGAGGACGUGGGGCAACUCCCGAGCCGAGUGGCGAACGGGUGCGUAACACGUGACCAAUCUACCCUUGGGAGAGGGACAACCUGGGGAAACCCGGGCUAAUACCGCAUGACGUGCCGAUGUCGCAUGGCGACGGCACCAAAGGGGGGCCACUGCUAGCAAGCUCCCGCCCAAGGAGGAGGUCGCGGCGUAUCAGCUUGUUGGUGGGGUAACGGCCUACCAAGGCUACGACGCGUAGCGGGUCUGAGAGGACGAUCCGCCACAUUGGGACUGAGAUACGGCCCAGACUCCUACGGGAGGCAGCAGUGGGGAAUAUUGCGCAAUGGUCGAAAGACUGACGCAGCGACGCCGCGUGUGGGAGGAAGCCCUUCGGGGUGUAAACCACUGUCAGGUGGGAAGAACUCCGCGUGUCCAAACAGGGUGCGCGGCUGACGGUACCGCCAGAGGAAGCGCCGGCUAACUCCGUGCCAGCAGCCGCGGUAAGACGGGGGGCGCAAGCGUUGUUCGGAAUUACUGGGCGUAAAGCGCGGGCAGGCGGUCCGUUAAGUCUUUUGUGAAACUCCAGGGCUCAACCCCGGACAUGCAGAAGAUACUGGCGGACUAGAGACCGGUAGAGGCUAGUGGAAUUCCUGGUGUAGCGGUGGAAUGUGUAGAUAUCAGGAAGAACACCAGUGGCGAAGGCGGCUAGCUGGGCCGGAUCUGACGCUCAUCCGCGAGAGCGUGGGGAGCAGACAGGAUUAGAUA